RNAcentral lists this ribosomal RNA (484 nucleotides) under uncultured bacterium. Its description in RNAcentral is "partial 16S ribosomal RNA". It matches the Rfam family "Bacterial small subunit ribosomal RNA", at positions 30 to 507 of the family's 1533-position model. The record is from RNAcentral.
AUUGAACGCUGGCGGCAUGCCUUACACAUGCAAGUCGAACGGCAGCACGGACUUCGGUCUGGUGGCGAGUGGCGAACGGGUGAGUAAUGUAUCGGAACGUACCUUUCAGUGGGGGAUAACGUAGCGAAAGUUACGCUAAUACCGCAUAUUCUGUGAGCAGGAAAGCAGGGGAUCGAAAGACCUUGCGCUGAUUGAGCGGCCGAUGUCAGAUUAGCUAGUUGGUGGGGUAAAGGCCUACCAAGGCGACGAUCUGUAGCGGGUCUGAGAGGAUGAUCCGCCACACUGGAACUGAGACACGGUCCAGACUCCUACGGGAGGCAGCAGUGGGGAAUUUUGGACAAUGGGGGCAACCCUGAUCCAGCCAUGCCGCGUGAGUGAAGAAGGCCUUCGGGUUGUAAAGCUCUUUCGGCCGGGAAGAAAUCGCGUAGGCUAAUACCCUGUGUGGAUGACGGUACCGGAAUAAGAAGCACCGGCUAACUACGUG